GAAACAUAUUUCCCUGGCAGAGAUAAAUGAUUAAUGACUCCAACUGGAGUGCCGGAACAGUGGGAAGACUUUCUACAAGCCUUGGCAAGUGGAAAAAGCUGACGGCCAGUUCCAGUCAUUGUUAGCAUUCCUGUAGUGUUACACCACGCAUACACAUGCAUGCACAUGUCAACACACCUAUAUACAAUAAUUAUUAUGCAUGACUGUAAGAGGUAAUAAUCAGUAUGCAUUUCACACGAUGUUUUUUUGAUUUUUCAUUGCUAUUGGAGUGAGCAUUCUGACAACACAUAGUGCCUAUCGUAAAUGCAUUUCCACUAAUAUCUGUGAAGGAGUUUUUUCGCUGUGCACUGUUACAUUUUGCCUCCAAGUUUAUUUGUUAUCACAAAUCUAUACUGUCGUUGAUAAAGGUUGCUGCACUCAGCUAGACCAGUUGGUUUUCCAUUGGCCGAAGAGAGCAUUCUUACAACACAUAGUGCCUAUCGUAGAUGUAUUUCCACUGAAAUCUGUGAAGAAGUAUAUCCUCUGUGCACUGUUACAUUUUGCCUCCAAGUACGUUAGUUUGUCAUGAGAGGAAUCUGUACUUUUGUUGAUAAAAUAAUGUCGCUGCACUCAGCUAGAACAGUU
This is a long non-coding RNA of Sycon ciliatum, 624 nucleotides long. RefSeq lists it as uncharacterized. The record is from RefSeq and is a predicted model, not a curated record. Lineage: Eukaryota; Metazoa; Porifera; Calcarea; Leucosolenida; Sycettidae. The transcript is spliced from 2 exons.